ACAUCACUGGAAAGUCCCUCACCUUCACCCUGAAGAACCCUGCAGGUGUGACCCAGAAACAGAAUGAGGCCAACGGGAACUGGGGACUGUCCAGACGGUGGGCAACCUCUUCCGGGUCCGUCUGGCCUCCAACAAACAGACAGGAUUAUGGGAAAUCAGCAUGAACUCCAACCAGCCCUACACACUGAAGGUCACUGGUCAGAGUACCAUUGCCUUCAUUUAUGACUUUGUGGAGACUUUGAGGACCUCA
Long non-coding RNA from Oncorhynchus gorbuscha (pink salmon), 250 nucleotides. RefSeq lists it as uncharacterized. The record is from RefSeq and is a predicted model, not a curated record. NCBI's taxonomy places the organism in Eukaryota, Metazoa, Chordata, Actinopteri, Salmoniformes, Salmonidae. The transcript is spliced from 3 exons.